This is a non-coding RNA of Oryza glumipatula, 183 nucleotides long. Lineage: Eukaryota; Viridiplantae; Streptophyta; Magnoliopsida; Poales; Poaceae. The record is from Rfam.
UAUAAAUACAGUUGUAAGUUUCCAUGUUUAAUGUUUAACCGUCCUUCUUAUUUAAAAAAAUAUGAUUAGUAUUUUUAUUGUUAUUAGAUGAUAAAACAUGAAUAAUAUUUUAUGUGUGACUAAUUUUUUUUAAAUAAGACGGAUGUCAAAUGUUAAGUAAGAAAACUCACAUCCACACUUAAC